This 382-nucleotide ribosomal RNA is filed under the name uncultured eukaryote. Its description in RNAcentral is "partial 18S ribosomal RNA". It matches the Rfam family "Eukaryotic small subunit ribosomal RNA", at positions 592 to 976 of the family's 1831-position model. The record is from RNAcentral.
UGUAAGCGUAUACCAAAGUUGUUGCAGUUAAAACGCUCGUAGUCGGAAUUUGGCAGUUCCGGAUGUGUGCACGUCGUGUGCGCACUUCGCGGGGAUUGCUUUUGUGGUCUUGCGUAGGAUGAGGCACUUUUAUUAGUGAACGUCCUCACGCAACCACUUUUUACUGUGAGAAAAUCAGAGUGCUCAAAGCAGGCAUUUGCCGUGAAUGUAUUAGCAUGGAAUAAUAGAAUAGGACUUGGUUCUAUUUUGUUGGUUUGUUGGGACUGAGUAAUGAUUAAGAGGGACAGUUGGGGGCAUUUGUAUUUCGGUGCUAGAGGUGAAAUUCUUAGAUUACCGAAAGACAAACUGCUGCGAAAGCGUCUGCCAAGGAUGUUUUCAAUGA